Molecule: transfer RNA, 74 nt
Filed under: Camelus bactrianus (Bactrian camel)
Lineage: Eukaryota; Metazoa; Chordata; Mammalia; Artiodactyla; Camelidae
Also listed under: 2 other names
Rfam family: tRNA
About the family: Transfer RNA (tRNA) molecules are approximately 80 nucleotides in length. Their secondary structure includes four short double-helical elements and three loops (D, anti-codon, and T loops). Further hydrogen bonds mediate the characteristic L-shaped molecular structure. tRNAs have two regions of fundamental functional importance: the anti-codon, which is responsible for specific mRNA codon recognition, and the 3' end, to which the tRNAs corresponding amino acid is attached (by aminoacyl-tRNA synthetases). tRNAs cope with the degeneracy of the genetic code in two manners: having more than one tRNA (with a specific anti-codon) for a particular amino acid; and 'wobble' base-pairing, i.e. permitting non-standard base-pairing at the 3rd anti-codon position.
Source: Rfam by way of RNAcentral
GAGGGUAUAGCUCAGUGAUAGAGCGCAUGCUCAGCAAGCAUGAGGUGUCCUGGGUUCAAUCCCCAGUACCUCCA